GGGUCGGUGGCCGAGUGGUCAAUGGCAGCAGACUGUAAAUCUGCCGNCGUANGNCUACGGUGGUUCAAAUCCAUCCCGGCCCA
Molecule: transfer RNA, 83 nt
Filed under: Fidelibacterota bacterium
Lineage: Bacteria; Pseudomonadati; Fidelibacterota
Description: tRNA-Tyr
Rfam family: tRNA
About the family: Transfer RNA (tRNA) molecules are approximately 80 nucleotides in length.
Source: RNAcentral